UACAGCCAAGUUUCUUGAAAACAGUGCCUA
This 30-nucleotide non-coding RNA is filed under the name Rattus norvegicus (Norway rat). The record is from RNAcentral. Lineage: Eukaryota; Metazoa; Chordata; Mammalia; Rodentia; Muridae.